Molecule: ribosomal RNA, 410 nt
Filed under: uncultured bacterium
Lineage: Bacteria
Description: bacterial SSU rRNA
Rfam family: Bacterial small subunit ribosomal RNA
Source: RNAcentral
UCCUAGCCGUAAACGAUGAGUACUAAGUGUAGGAGGUAUUGACCCCUUCUGUGCUGUAGUUAACACAUUAAGUACUCCGCCUGGGGAAUACGGCCGCAAGGUUAAAACUCAAGGUAAUUGACGGGGGCCCGCACAAGCGGUGGAGCAUGUCGCCCAAUUCGAGGCAACGCGAAGAACCUUACCAGGGCUUGACAUCCCGUGCUACCUGUGGAAACACGGGGUUCCCUUCGGGGACGCGGUGACAGGUGCUGCAUGGCUGUCGUCAGCUCGUGUCGUGAGAUGUUGGGUUAAGUCCCGCAACGAGCGCAACCCUUGUCCUUAGUUACCAGCGGGUAAUGCCGGGGACUCUAAGGAGACUGCCUGCCACAAGCAGGAGGAAGGUGGGGAUGACGUCAAGUCCGCAUGGCCCU